RNAcentral lists this unclassified non-coding RNA (324 nucleotides) under soil metagenome. Its description in RNAcentral is "partial contains 5.8S ribosomal RNA, internal transcribed spacer 2, and large subunit ribosomal RNA". The stretch from base 1 to 120 matches the Rfam family "5.8S ribosomal RNA", at positions 35 to 154 of the family's 154-position model. The record is from RNAcentral.
GAUGAAGAACGUAGCGAAAUGCGAUAAGUAGUGUGAAUUGCAGAAUUCAGUGAAUCAUCGAAUCUUUGAACGCACAUUGCGCCCCUUGGUAUUCCAUGGGGCAUGCCUGUUCGAGCGUCAUUUGUACCUUCAAGCUUUGCUUGGUGUUGGGUGUUUGUCCCUCGGGACUCGCCUUAAAGUCAUUGGCAGCCAGUGUUUUGGUUUUGAAGCGCAGCACAAGUCGCGAUUCAAGGCUAUCCGCCCGCUUCCACAAGCCUUUUUCACUUUUGACCUCGGAUCAGGUAGGGAUACCUGCUGAACUUAAGCAUAUCAAUAAGCGGAGGA